AGUUAUCAUACAUUAUAUUCUAUCAGUAAGCAAUAUAGUCACUGUUGCAUUUUUUUCACAACACACAAAAAAUCUAUGUAAAAUCAGUAUGUACCUUCCCCCUCCUUGACCCAAAAACCAAACACAAAAAAGAAAAGGCACCUCAGAAAUAAUGAGUAUCUUCCCCACUUGGCCACUAAGUUAACCUGGGUGGUCCCAAAAUGGGGGCAGAUUGACCAUUUAGAAGUAAGAAUGACAGAGCCCACAUGCUCUGAUUUCUACUAAUAGUUAUAGGUCAGCUUACAAAUAGUGAUCUAGGAAGUUCCAAGGACUACUAUCAGUUGUCCUGAUAAGCUUUGCAUGGUUUAGAAGGCUAACAGUUGUUCCCAAAUGCCACAGUCAUCAACAAUAGGAGUUCCCUCAACUUCCCUCAGAAGGAGAACCAGAGGCACAACUCACCAUGUUCAACCUUUGGUGACAAGGAAACUUAGGAAGCUCAAGAAGAUCAUCCCAGGAUGCGAAGAAGCUGGGUUAGAAGAACUGCUUCAGAGAACUGCUGAGUAUAUUUCUUUCCUAGAGCUGCAUGUAAUUAUUCUGGAGAGAAUAUCAAACCUUCAUGGUGCUUCAGGCUAUGGCUUGUCUUAAGCCAUAUCCUGAUCCAGGCUUUGAUGGUCAAAAAUAGAAAGUAAGUAUAUUUUCUGCUGUAAGUCCUACUAGCAUUUCUCAUAAGAUAUUUGGCAAGAUUAUCUCAUUGUAUCUCCUCAAUUUCCUUGAUCAUCAUAGUUUCUUCCCAGGAUCACUUGCAAUGAUUAAACUCAAUCAUGCAGCUAAGGAGAAACAUUUCAAUGGAAGAAAGUUCAUUUCCUUUUUUUAAA
Musa acuminata subsp. malaccensis (wild Malaysian banana) is the source of this 854-nucleotide non-coding RNA. The record is from RefSeq and is a predicted model, not a curated record. Lineage: Eukaryota; Viridiplantae; Streptophyta; Magnoliopsida; Zingiberales; Musaceae.